Molecule: ribosomal RNA, 498 nt
Filed under: uncultured bacterium
Lineage: Bacteria
Description: partial 16S ribosomal RNA
Rfam family: Bacterial small subunit ribosomal RNA
Source: RNAcentral
GACGAACGCUGGCGGCGUGCCUAAUACAUGCAAGUCGAGCGGACGGAUGGGAGCUUGCUCCCAGACCGUCAGCGGCGGACGGGUGAGUAACACGUGGGCAACCUGCCUGUAAGACUGGGAUAACUCCGGGAAACCGGGGCUAAUACCGGAUAACUCUUUCCCUCACAUGAGGGAAAGCUGAAAGAUGGCAUCUCGCUAUCACUUACAGAUGGGCCCGCGGCGCAUUAGCUAGUUGGUGAGGUAACGGCUCACCAAGGCGACGAUGCGUAGCCGACCUGAGAGGGUGAUCGGCCACACUGGGACUGAGACACGGCCCAGACUCCUACGGGAGGCAGCAGUAGGGAAUCUUCCGCAAUGGACGAGAGUCUGACGGAGCAACGCCGCGUGAGUGAUGAAGGUUUUCGGAUCGUAAAACUCUGUUGUCAGGGAAGAACAAGUACCGGAGUAACUGCCGGUACCUUGACGGUACCUGACCAGAAAGCCACGGCUAACUACGUG